RNAcentral lists this ribosomal RNA (424 nucleotides) under uncultured prokaryote. RNAcentral's name for it is "bacterial SSU rRNA". It matches the Rfam family "Bacterial small subunit ribosomal RNA", at positions 355 to 796 of the family's 1533-position model. The record is from RNAcentral.
UGGGGAAUCUUGGACAAUGNGCGCAAGCCUGAUCCAGCCAUGCCGCGUGGGUGAAGAAGGCCUUAGGGUUGUAAAGCCCUUUCAGUCGUGACGAUGAUGACGGUAGCGACAGAAGAAGCCCCGGCUAUCUCGGAGCCAGCAGCCGCGGUAAUACGGAGGGGGCAAGCGUUGUUCGGAUUUACUGGGCGUAAAGGGCGCGUAGGCGGGCGAUCAAGUCAGGGGUCAAAGGCCUGGGCUCAACCUGGGACGUGCCUUUGAAACUGAUUGUCUUGAGUGCGGGAGAGGGUGACGNAAUUCCCAGUGUAGAGGUGAAAUUCGUAGAUAUUGGGAAGAACACCGGUGGCGAAGGCGGUCACCUGGCCCGCAACUGACGCUGAGGCGCGAAAGCGUGGGGAGCAAACAGGAUUAGAUACCCGCGUAGUCC